GACGUAGGGCGCGAGCGUUAUCCGGAUUCACUGGGCUUAAAGGGUGCGUAGGUGGGCAGGUAAGUCAGUGGUGAAAUCUCCGGGCUUAACUCGGAAACUGCCAUUGAUACUAUCUGUCUUGAAUACCGUGGAGGUUAGCGGAAUAUGUCAUGUAGCGGUGAAAUGCUUAGAUAUGACAUAGAACACCAAUUGCGAAGGCAGCUGGCUACACGAAUAUUGACACUGAUGCACGAAAGCGUGGGGAUCAAACAGG
RNAcentral lists this ribosomal RNA (253 nucleotides) under uncultured bacterium. RNAcentral describes it as "partial 16S ribosomal RNA". It matches the Rfam family "Bacterial small subunit ribosomal RNA", at positions 524 to 776 of the family's 1533-position model. The record is from RNAcentral.